GUGCUCGCUUCAGCAGCACAUAUACUAAAAUCAGAAUGAUACAGAGAGGAUAGGAUGACCCCUGCGCAAGGAUGACACACAAAGAUUCAGAAUUAAUUAUUUGUUUU
This is a small nuclear RNA of Suncus etruscus (white-toothed pygmy shrew), 107 nucleotides long. The record is from RefSeq and is a predicted model, not a curated record. NCBI's taxonomy places the organism in Eukaryota, Metazoa, Chordata, Mammalia, Eulipotyphla, Soricidae.